GUUAGGAAUAUUGGACAAUGGGCGCAAGCCUGAUCCAGCCAUGCCGCGUGAGUGAUGAAGGCCUUCGGGUUGUAAAGCUCUUUAGCCGAUGAUUAUAAUGACUGUAGUCGGAAAAUAAGCCCCGGCUAACUUCGUGCCAGCAGCCGCGGUAAUACGAAGGGGGCGAGCGUUAUUCGGAAUCACUGGGCGUAAAGCGUGCGUAGGCGGUUUUGUAAGUUAGGAGUGAAAGCCCAGGGCUCAACCCUGGAAUUGCUCUUAAAACUACAAGGCUAGAAUGUCGGAGAGGAUAGCGGAAUUUCCAGUGUAGCAGUGAAAUGCGUAGAUAUUGGAAGGAACACCAGUGGCGUAAGCGGCUAUCUGGACGACUAUUGACGCUGAGGCACGAAAGCGUGGGGAUCAAACAGGAUUAGAAACCCCAGUAGUCC
Molecule: ribosomal RNA, 425 nt
Filed under: uncultured bacterium
Lineage: Bacteria
Description: partial 16S ribosomal RNA
Rfam family: Bacterial small subunit ribosomal RNA
Source: RNAcentral